Molecule: ribosomal RNA, 439 nt
Filed under: uncultured bacterium
Lineage: Bacteria
Description: partial 16S ribosomal RNA
Rfam family: Bacterial small subunit ribosomal RNA
Source: RNAcentral
CUACGGGUGGCUGCAGUGAGGAAUAUUGCACAAUGGAGGAAACUCUGAUGCAGCAACGCCGCGUGGAGGAUGACGCAUUUCGGUGUGUAAACUCCUUUUAUAUGUCAAGAAAAUGACGGUAGCAUAUGAAUAAGCUCCGGCUAACUCCGUGCCAGCAGCCGCGGUAAUACGGAGGGAGCAAGCGUUACUCGGAAUCACUGGGCGUAAAGGACGCGUAGGCGGGAUAGAAAGUCAGGUGUGAAAUCCUAUGGCUCAACCAUAGAACUGAACUUGAAACUUCUAACCUAGAGUAUGGGAGGGGAAGAUGGAAUUAGUGGUGUAGGGGUAAAAUCCGUAGAUAUCACUAGGAAUACCUAAAGCGAAGGCGAUCUCCUGGAACAUUACUGACGCUAAGGCGUGAAAGCGUGGGGAGCAAACAGGAUUAGAUACCCGCGUAGUC